AGAGGCGUGGCGGAAUGGUAAUCGCACUGGUCUGCUAAGCCAGGGAGCAGUUUGUCUCGUGUGGGUUCGAGUCCCACCGCCUCUG
This 85-nucleotide transfer RNA is filed under the name Acidobacteriota bacterium. Its description in RNAcentral is "Acidobacteria bacterium (wastewater metagenome) tRNA-Ser". It matches the Rfam family "tRNA". Rfam says of the family: Transfer RNA (tRNA) molecules are approximately 80 nucleotides in length. Their secondary structure includes four short double-helical elements and three loops (D, anti-codon, and T loops). Lineage: Bacteria; Pseudomonadati; Acidobacteriota. The record is from RNAcentral.